AGCUUUGUGCAGUGGCAGUAUCAUAGCCGAUGAGGUUUAUCCAAGGUGCAAUUAUAGCUAAUUGAAAAUAAAGUUUUUUUAAAAAAACCUCUUUCAUGUUCAUUGUGUUUUAGAAAAAGCUGGAUGUGGCGGCAGCUA
Mustela lutreola (European mink) is the source of this 138-nucleotide small nuclear RNA. RefSeq annotates it as U4 spliceosomal RNA. The record is from RefSeq and is a predicted model, not a curated record. The transcript has a single exon. NCBI's taxonomy places the organism in Eukaryota, Metazoa, Chordata, Mammalia, Carnivora, Mustelidae.